GUUCCUAUGGUGAAAUGGUAUCACAGCAGACUGUUAAUCUGUCAUUCCUGGUUCGAGUCCGGGUGGGAACG
This 71-nucleotide transfer RNA is filed under the name bacterium. RNAcentral describes it as "tRNA-Asn". It matches the Rfam family "tRNA". From Rfam's summary of the family: Transfer RNA (tRNA) molecules are approximately 80 nucleotides in length. Their secondary structure includes four short double-helical elements and three loops (D, anti-codon, and T loops). The record is from RNAcentral.